RNAcentral lists this ribosomal RNA (240 nucleotides) under uncultured bacterium. RNAcentral describes it as "partial 16S ribosomal RNA". It matches the Rfam family "Bacterial small subunit ribosomal RNA", at positions 27 to 285 of the family's 1533-position model. The record is from RNAcentral.
GAGCGAACGCUGGCGGCAGGCUUAACACAUGCAAGUCGAGCGGCGUAGCAAUACGUCAGCGGCAGACGGGUGAGUAACGCGUGGGAACGUACCUUUUGGUUCGGUAACAACGACAGGGAAACUUCGUGCGUAAUACCGGAUAAGCCCUUUACGGGGAAAGAUUUACUCGCCGAAAGAAUCGGCCCGCGUCUGAUUAGACUAGUUGGUGAGGUAACGGCUCACCAAGGCGACGAUCGAGUA